Molecule: ribosomal RNA, 265 nt
Filed under: uncultured bacterium
Lineage: Bacteria
Description: partial 16S ribosomal RNA
Rfam family: Bacterial small subunit ribosomal RNA
Source: RNAcentral
GUCCACGCCCUAAACGAUGUCAACUAGGUGUUGGGGAAGGAGACUUCUUUAGUACCGCAGCUAACGCGUGAAGUUGACCGCCUGGGGAGUACGGUCCAAGAUUAAAACUCAAAGGAAUUGACGGGGACCCGCACAAGCGGUGGAUUAUGUGGAUUAAUUCGAUGCAACGCGAAAAACCUUACCUACCCUUGACAUGUCAGAAAGAUCGCAGAGAUGUGAUUGUGCCCGAAAGGGAAUCUGAACACAGGUGCUGCAUGGCUGUCGU